This 503-nucleotide ribosomal RNA is filed under the name uncultured bacterium. RNAcentral describes it as "partial 16S ribosomal RNA". It matches the Rfam family "Bacterial small subunit ribosomal RNA", at positions 30 to 523 of the family's 1533-position model. The record is from RNAcentral.
AUUGAACGCUGGCGGCAGGCUUAACACAUGCAAGUCGAGCGGGGUGAUGGUGCUUGCACUAUCACUUAGCGGCGGACGGGUGAGUAAUGCUUAGGAAUCUGCCUAUUAGUGGGGGACAACAUCGCGAAAGGGCUGCUAAUACCGCAUACGUCCUACGGGAGAAAGCAGGGGAUCUCUUGUGACAUUGCGCGAAUAGAUGCGACUAAGUCGGACUAGCUAGUUGGUGGGGUAAAGGCCUACCAAGGCGACGAUCUGUAGCGGGUCUGAGAGGAUGACCCGCCACACUGGGACUGAGACACGGCCCAGACUCCUACGGGAGGCAGCAGUGGGGAAAAUUGGACAAUGGGGGGAACCCUGAUCCAGCCAUGCCGCGUGUGUGAAGAAGGCCUUAUGGUUGUAAAGCACUUUAAGCGAGGAGGAGGCUCUUUUGGUUAAUACCCAAGAUGAGUGGACGUUACUCUCAGAAUAAGCACCGGCUAACUCUGUGCCAGCCGCCGCAGUAA